This 1500-nucleotide ribosomal RNA is filed under the name Triticum aestivum (bread wheat). Its description in RNAcentral is "partial small subunit ribosomal RNA". Lineage: Eukaryota; Viridiplantae; Streptophyta; Magnoliopsida; Poales; Poaceae. The record is from RNAcentral.
AUGGCGUGGAAGGCGGCCAUGGGGGGUAAGGCGGCCGGCAUCGGAGGCGAGAAGCUCAAGUGCCCGCCGUCGUCCGCCGCAAGGUCGCGGAUGAAGCUCUGGAUGGUGCGCGCCACCACCACCGUCCUGCUCUGGACCUGCGUCAUGCAGCUCACCGCCGUCGGCGAGACGUGGGGCCCGCGGGUGCUCAAGGGAUGGCCCUCCUGCCUCACGCCCCCCGAGGAGGCCGCCGCCGUGCGCCCGGCCGUCGUCGAGAGGGCCGCGUUGCUGCCGCCCAAAAGAAUUUACAGGAACAAUGGUUAUUUGAUGGUCUCAUGCAAUGGUGGUCUUAACCAAAUGCGAGCUGCUAUAUGUGAUAUGGUUGUAAUAGCAAGAUAUUUGAAUGUCACUUUGGUUGUGCCAGAGUUGGACAAGACUUCUUUUUGGAAUGACCCGAGUGAGUUUCAAGAUAUAUUUGACGUCGAACACUUUAUAACCUCCUUACGCGACGAAGUUCGCAUACUGAGGGAACUGCCUCCAAGGGUAAAGCGAAGAGUUGAACUUGGUAUGUUCCACUCAAUGCCACCUAUCAGUUGGUCUGAUAUCUCCUAUUACCAUAAUCAGAUUCUUCCAUUGAUUCGAAAACACAAGGUUCUGCAUUUGAAUAGAACUGACGCUAGGCUAGCAAACAAUGGUUUACCUAUGGAGAUUCAAAAACUGAGAUGCAGAGUAAAUUAUGCCUCUCUGAGAUUUACCGCUGAAAUUGAAGAUUUGGGCAAGCGUGUAAUUAGAAUACUUCGCCAAAAUGGUCCUUUCUUGGUUCUUCAUUUACGUUACGAAAUGGAUAUGCUGGCUUUCUCUGGCUGUACUCAAGGUUGCAGUAACGAAGAGGCAGAAGAGCUCGCAAGAAUGAGGUAUGCUUAUCCGUGGUGGAAAGAGAAAAUCAUCGACUCGGACUUGAAAAGAAAAGAUGGCCUUUGCCCAUUGACGCCAGAGGAGACUGCUCUUGUCCUCAGAGCAUUGGACAUUGAUAGAAGUAUGCAAAUAUACAUCGCAGCUGGGGAAAUAUAUGGUGGAAAACGCAGGAUGGCAGCUCUCACUUCAGCUUAUCCGAAUGUGGUGAGGAAAGAGACACUUCUGGAACCUUCUGAUCUAAUGUUCUUCCAGAACCAUUCGUCCCAAAUGGCUGCACUGGAUUACAUGGUUUCUCUAGAAAGUGAUAUAUUUGUUCCAACAUAUGAUGGCAAUAUGGCUAAAGUUGUUGAGGGUCAUCGCAGGUUCAUGGGUUUCAAGAAGACGAUCUUGUUAGAUCGAAAACUCAUCGUCGACCUAGCAGAUCAGUACAACAACGGUUCGUUGCGAUGGGAUGAGUUCUCUUUGUUGAUCAAGGCUGCCCACGCAGGGCGGAUGGGAUCAGCCUCGAAGCGGACAGUGAUUCCCGACAGACCCAAGGAGGAGGACUACUUCUAUGCAAACCCCCAGGAGUGCCUGCAAGGCCCCGACCGCCUACGCACAUCAUGA